AGUGAACGCUGGCGGCAGGCCUAAUACAUGCAAGUCGAACGGCAGCACAGCAGAGCUUGCUCUGUGGGUGGCGAGUGGCGGACGGGUGAGGAAUACAUGGGAAUCUGCCCAGUCGUGGGGGAUAACGUAGGGAAACUUACGCUAAUACCGCAUGCGCCCUUCGGGGAAAGCCGGGGACCUUCGGGCCUGGCGCGAUUGGAUGAGCCCAUGUCGGAUUAGCUAGUUGGCGGGGUAAUGGCCCACCAAGGCGACGAUCCGUAGCUGGUCUGAGAGGAUGAUCAGCCACACUGGAACUGAGACACGGUCCAGACUCCUACGGGAGGCAGCCAGUAGGGAAUAUUGGACAAUGGGCGCAAGCCUGAUCCAGCCAUGCCGCGUGAGUGAAGAAGGCCCUCGGGUUGUAAA
RNAcentral lists this ribosomal RNA (405 nucleotides) under uncultured bacterium. RNAcentral describes it as "bacterial SSU rRNA". It matches the Rfam family "Bacterial small subunit ribosomal RNA", at positions 29 to 429 of the family's 1533-position model. The record is from RNAcentral.